GACGAACGCUGGCGGCGUGCUUAACACAUGCAAGUCGAACGGAAAGGCCCUGCUUUUGUGGGGUGCUCGAGUGGCGAACGGGUGAGUAACACGUGAGUAACCUGCCCUUGACUUUGGGAUAACUUCAGGAAACUGGGGCUAAUAUCGGAUAGGAGCUCCUGCUGCAUGGUGGGGGUUGGAAAGUUUCGGCGGUUGGGGAUGGACUCGCGGCUUAUCAGCUUGUUGGUGGGGUAGUGGCUUACCAAGGCUUUGACGGGUAGCCGGCCUGAGAGGGUGACCGGCCACAUUGGGACUGAGAUACGGCCCAGACUCCUACGGGAGGCAGCAGUGGGGAAUAUUGCACAAUGGGCGGAAGCCUGAUGCAGCAACGCCGCGUGCGGGAUGACGGCCUUCGGGUUGUAAACCGCUUUCGCCUGUGACGAAGCGUGAGUGACGGUAAUGGGUAAAGAAGCACCGGCUAACUACGU
RNAcentral lists this ribosomal RNA (467 nucleotides) under uncultured bacterium. RNAcentral describes it as "partial 16S ribosomal RNA". It matches the Rfam family "Bacterial small subunit ribosomal RNA", at positions 28 to 506 of the family's 1533-position model. The record is from RNAcentral.